GACAACAGAAAAGAUUCGAUGAGCUCCAACUCGUGUUUCAUGAUCAGGGUGGACCAUAGCAGGGAGUAACUGAUGAAACAAAGCCUCUGGGAAUGCUUUGUUUUGGUAUGACAAGUUUGGCAUAGAAGCUAUGAUUUGAGAAGCACGGUAAACAGCAGCAAUAGUAGUUCUUGCUAUCACUUGGAUACUUGUGAUGUUCUCCAACAUUACUGCCAUCACAUCCAGAAUAGGGCCUGCAUCUCCAACCUUAUUUGAUAACUCCACAAGGCACUCAUCCACUGAUUCCUGGAAAAG
This 294-nucleotide unclassified non-coding RNA is filed under the name Hevea brasiliensis (rubber tree). The record is from RNAcentral. Lineage: Eukaryota; Viridiplantae; Streptophyta; Magnoliopsida; Malpighiales; Euphorbiaceae.